Molecule: long non-coding RNA, 12711 nt
Filed under: Homo sapiens (human)
Lineage: Eukaryota; Metazoa; Chordata; Mammalia; Primates; Hominidae
Description: HSALNT0340090
Source: RNAcentral
GGUUUUCUCCGGUUCGGGAGAGAGACGGAGUCCCGCUCUGUCACGCAGGCUGCCAGGCUGGCGUACAGUGGCGCAAUCUCAGCUCGCUGCAACCUCCACCUCCUGGGUUCAAGCGAUUUUCUUGCCUCUGCCUCCUGAGUAGCUGGGAUUACUGGCACACACCACCAUGCACAGGGAGAUAUGAGACAUCAAUCAAUAUAUGUAAGAUGUACAUCAGUUUCGUCUGGAAAGAUGGGACAACAUGAAGCAGGGAGGGGGCUCCCUGGUGACAGUUCCUUGUUCAAAAUGCCAAGAACCUGGAUGACUCAUAGUCAAGACCCUCCACCAGUAACAUAUAUUGGCGAGCCAGCCAGGAGCUUGGAACCCUCGGUGGACAGUGCCUAAGCACAGAGGCAACCACAGGUUUCUAACAGGGCCACUCUCUGGUGAAACUGAAAGGUUUCUGUGUGAAAGUGCCUGACCACCACUGCCCAAUUCAGACCACUACAGGAAACACUCCAUUUAUUCCACCUGACUUCCCACUUGGCUGCAUCCUCAACCAUUGAAAUGAAUUUGACCCUGAUAAUCUAAGGAGGAAACAUUUGAUAUUCUUUUGCAAUAAUACUUGGCCCCAGUAUUGUUUGGAAUCUGGAGUUUGCUGUUGAAUGGGAAAGCAGGAUGACGUUGCAUGUAUCCAGGCUUUGGUGCUGCUGUCCUAAGAAGGGUCAGGCCUAGUCAGCAUAUGGUGCUCUCCUUUGGUGCUAUUUGGCUCCAGUGUCUUUGGAGUCUGAGGAGGUUUGGCCUUUAAAAAUCAAACUGCCACCGGAACUGCUUUAAAAAUGUUUGGUUCACAGCCUUCACUGGAUUACCUAUUGGAGCAAACAAAGUGUAACCAUGUAAAACCUGUGAGCUUGUAUUGAUAUCUCAUGGCUAGAGUUCCAAGCGAAUGGGUCUCAUGAGAUCUGAUGGUUUUGAAAAUGGGAGUUGCCCUGCACAAGCUCUCCUUUUGCCUGCUGCCAUCCACAUAAGAUGUGAUUUGCUCUUCCUUGCCUUCCACCAUGAUUGUGAGGCCUUCCCAGCAUGUGGAAAUGGUCCAGCCUGCAAUAACUGAAGCCCCCAGACCUGGAACCUGAAGAUCCCAUCAGCCACUAAACCUGUGAACCUGUAGAAGACCUGAAGUACCUGUUUAAAAGGCAGCCAAAAGAUAAGUAAAUUCCUAUCAACUUUCCUUGGUGUCCUUCUUGUAUAUUUACUGUAAGCUGGAUAUAAUAGUAGCCAUUUUUAUAUUUUUACAAUUUAAUUGCUUUCUUCCAAAUGGAUUGAAUCACUUCUUUUAAAGUGUUUUAAUUAAUUUUUAUCUAUAGAACAAAAUAACAAAUAAGUAUUUUUUUUUUAUACCAUAAUGGUCACCCACAGCCUGUGUAUACUAAGACCAUGCAUACUGAUAAUCAGCUUUAUUUUACAAAAGAGUUUCGCUUUACCCCUCUGGUAAUUAAUGGAUUCUGGGUAUUUAUUAAAAACUUUAACACAAAGACUGUUAAAUACCACCAGUCCAGCUUUGGCAAGGCACUGUUGGCUUUGUUUAUCUCCAUCAUCAUCCAAACAGACUACCAAUCCUGAUCCCAGCCCAAUCUUGGGCCCUUGAAAAAAUAACUUAACAUCCUAACUACAAGGGAGAAACUCCUUUCAAAUUAAUGAACCUGGCUGACUUAUAUAGCCUUAAAAUUAUGGAAAUGACAAGGGUUACAAUGUCAGAAUGAGCAGUAAACCUUCCCCAGUCCUAUCAGAGCAAACUUUCUGGGGUUGCAUCCCCUCAGAAACCCAUUUGGGGCCCAAUCUCAAUGCACAUAUCAGUGCGCAAAGCACUAAAAUUCCAGGCAACACUUUGUAUUGAGAGAAGCCAAAAUUUUGGUCCCGCCCUGGGACAUCUAAAGUCACCAAUGUAACUACACCAUACAGAUUAAACCCUCACAUGAUCAUGUAAGCUAUGCAGUUACCCAAGCUGCAUCAUUUAGAAAACCUGUACAGUUUUUAUGGAAACCAUCCCUAGUCAAGGACACUUUAAAUAUAUAGUCUAAAUACCGUUAAGGUAGGCCCACUAGCUGUGUUCACAUUUUCCCUUGGCCACCUUACCAGGGACUUUAAUAACUUGGGAAAGUGAAAACAACAAGCUAACCCACAUGUUCACCAUAGAAAACAAUUUUGUCUUGAAAAACAAGGACUCUUUUUCCCGUGUGGGACCAGUUCCUACUUAUGUUUUACCAGCCAAUUGGACUGGAACCUAUACAGUUGUUUAUUUAGCCCCCGAAAUUAAUAUAGCUCCCAACAACCAAUCCUUCAUUAUACUUUUAACUGCAACCACCAGACACAAAUGAGCCAUCCAACUGAUACCACUUUCGGUAGAGCUAGGAAUAACAGCAGGAGUAGGAAUGAGAGUUAGCAGCCUUGCAGUUUCCCUAUCCUAUUACCAAUGCUUGUCCAAGGAUUUUAUGGAAAGCUUAGGUGACAUUGCCCAAAAGUAUCAUCACCUUACAAAAUCAGAUAGAGUCUUUGGCAGUGGUGGCUUUGUAAAAUAGAAGGGGACUGGAUCUCCUAAAUGCUGAAGAAGGUGGCUUAUGUCUUUUUCCUAGAGGAAGAAUGCUGUUUUUAUGUCAACCAAACAGGAUUAGUAAGGGAUGCCACCCAAAAACUAGCCGAUUGGUACCAUAAGAUAUGACAACAGCUGUCUGAGUCAUGGGGCGCCUAGUCAAAAUGCUAAUUUGGGGCUCACAUCUCCUUCCUCUGGCCAGUCCACUAUUAAUUAUUAUACUUGCCUUGGCUUUUGGAUCAUGUUUGUUAAAUCUUUUAACCAGAUUUAUUUCUUCUUGCCUAGAGACCAUUAUGAUAAUGCAGCAGGGCCACCAGUCAGUUUCAGAUAAUGAUGUCAACCCCGGCCACCAAGAAGUAACCUUGUCUCCACUAGACAGAGCAGGUUGCAGGAAUUUAGCCAAUUCAGAGGUCUUGUUCUCCAUAAUUUGGAAUUUUCCUUCGGAUUUGAUCAAGUUGGAUAGAGUUGGUCAAACCCAAUGGGAAAAAGAUGAAAACAACAAGAAACAGAAACAAACAGCAACAACAACAACAACAAAAACAAUGCAUUUAAUUAAAUGAAGAUGAGCUCAUGCUGGAGUAGGGUGGACUCUGAACCCAGUGGGACAAGCGUCCUUAUUAAGAAGAGGGAAAUCUGGACACACACAGAGCAGAGACCGCCGUGUGAAGAUGGAGGCAGAGAUCGGAGAGAUGCUGCCACACGCCACAAAUGCCUGGGGCUCCCAGAAACUACACGGAGCCUCCCCCAGCGGCUUCAGCAGGAGCAUGGCUCGGCCAACACUUUGAUCUUGGUCUUCCAGCCUCCAGAACGUUUUCCUAAAAUUCCCUUUUCCACUGGUGUGUGGUGCAAGAUGAGGCACAUUUUCCAUGGAUGGUGAACAGAGGGAGGAGCCUUUUGAUCACAACCAGGUCACCCCACUUCUAAGCCACUGUGCCUCCAGCCCCACAAGACUAAGGAGAGAGAGCGCAGCGUGGUGGAGAGUGAGCUGUGCUGGGACCAUUGUUUCCGUAACCUCGUUUUCUGUGUCCAGCUGACACACCUUCAAAGUGGCAUCAGGUCCUAAACUGUAGCUUGCAAUGUGCCUGUUUCCAGAAACCAAGGUGAAAGUGCUUUUAGACAGUGUUCCCAUGCAAGAGUCCCUUCCCAGCUUUUUUCUGGAAAUGCAUGUUUCUCUGAACUCUGAGUCCCAAGAAAAAUCACUUGAGACACCAAGAAAAUGGGGGAAGUGCUAAAAUUGUGUGGGAAUUCAAGCUUAACAAUAAACAUCAAGACAUUUUUGAUAAAAAUGAAUCCACUGACAUCGGGGAGGAGCAAGAGAACAGCACGCUGACACUGGGUCAGAGGCUAAGACCGACAUUUCUGGGAACCACUCCCGGAAGGGCACAGAGGAGACGCUUUCAGCCUCUCAUCAGCCAGCCUGGCCUGUAGCUGCUGCACGUUAUGAGUGUGUUCCUGGCAUGACUGCUUCUAACAGCGACCAUUUCAUUAAGUUUUUAAGUGCCUGGUAAUUGCUUGGUUAUGACCGGUGUCUGCUCCAUGGCAGCCUCUUCCUGAAGAAAUGCUGAGGCAGUGUCACGCUGGUGUCUGUCCUCCUUACAGAAUGCCUGAACAGUUCCAUUGACUCAAAGUGAAGAUCAAAAGAACCAAAUGACAGCAAUAGCCAAGUGUAAUCAUCAGUAACCCUGUGUUCUAUCCACAGUUAAAAGAAUAUUGGCAGAGAAACAGCCUUGGUGUUCCAGCAGGAGUGAAGAGGAACAGGAAAACGAGUGGCAGUAGCCCUGAAACAGCCACUUCUGGUGGUUGCCACUCACCUGAGGAUAGAUGGAGUCUCGUUCUGUCACCCAGGCUGGAGUGCAGUGGCGCAAUCUCGGCUCGCUGCAAGCUCUGCCUCCCGGAUUCCCGCCAUUCUCCUGCCUCAGCCUCCCUAGUAGCUGGGACUACAGGCGCCCCCCACCAUGCCCGGCUAAUUUUUGAUAUUUUUAGUAGAGACAGGGUUUCACUGUGUUAGCCAGGAUGGUCUCGAUCUCCUGACCUCGUGAUCCACCUGCCUCGGCCUCCCAAAGUGCUGGGAUUACAUGUGUGAGCCACCACACCCGGCCCCAUUUUUAAUACGUUUUUUAAAGAUGCAUAUAAAAUGCAUUACCCUCUGGAAGAUUCCAGUAACUUACUGAAGCAAGUUUCUCCUCUACAUAUACCUAUUUCUGCCAUGAGUAACUGUUCAUUUUCAGUGAGUCAUUUGAGUUUCUGUUAUUCAGGUAUACAGAGUUCCUGUUGUCUUUUUAGUCAACAAAGUUUAACAAAGACCAUAAUAAAGAUGGCUUUCAGCAGCUCUGUUAUUGGGAAGGGUUGUAUUCAUGUGAAGAAAGAAAUUAUUUUAUUUUAUUUUUAAGUUUUAGUAGAGGGGGGGUUUUGCUAUGUUGGUUAGGCUGGUCUCGAACUCCCAUCCUCAAGUGAUCCACCUGCCUCGGUCUCUCAAAGUGCUGGGAUUACGGGCAUGAGCCACUGUGCCUGGACAGUAAUAAUAUUUUUUAAAAGGCUGACAUCAGCAGAUCAGCUAUUCUGGAAAGAUUUUUAAACACUCAGAGGUUUUUUUGUGUUUGUUUGUUUUCUUUUCUUUUCUUUUUUAGAGGCAGGGUCUUGCUCUGUCGCCCAGGCUAAGGUGGAGUGGUGCAAUCAUAGCUCACUACAGCCUCAAACUCCUGGGCUCAAACAAUCCUCACACCUUUCAUACCUUAGGCCCCUGAGUAGCUGGGUGGGACUACAGGCAUGCAUCACCAUGCUUGGCUAAUUUUUAAUUUUGUAUAGGUGGGGUCUUGCCAUUUGCCCAGGCUGGUGUCAAACUCCUCAAGUAAUCCUUCUGCCUCGGCCUCCUAAAGUGCCAGGAUUAUAGGCCUGAGCCACUACACACAGCCCGGAGUUUUUAAAAAAUACUCAAUUAAAAUGCUUCAUUUAAGUGUAUGUCUCUAAGAAAAUUUAAUAAUUGAUUAAAUAUUGUUGAAUAGACUGAAAGCACAACAUCCAAGCACAUGAAUUAAGCAAAUAAUGCAAGCAUAGCUCCCACACUCCACAAAUGUUUUCUAGUCAUUCCAAAGCCAUUCUUUUUAGAGGAUCUUUAAGAAAAUGCUUGGCUCUCAUCCGAUUAUUAUACAAGAGAUUAAGAAUUUACUGAGUUUACAGUUCUUUCUAUGAAGGAAAGAAUGAGGUCUACACCCAAAAGAAACAUUGGGAUUUUCAUUUAAGUAAAGCUGUAUUCUCAUUUAAAAUGGUACUAGUGCUCUUGUUGGCAACAGACACAUGAAGCAAAAUUUUCCUUUUACAUUUGAAUUUCAACUGCAUUUAAAGUGUUAUAAAUACCAUGACUACAUAAGCUAAGGGAAUGAAUGUAUUAACUCUGAUGCAGUCUGUCAGGUUUUAACAGUAGUGAAUCUUGGGAUCGGUACAUCUCAUUCCAGUAUAGCUAUGGUAAAUGACAUAGAGAUCGCUGAAUUGUUGUAUUUCCAGGACUUUUCAAAAGUGACUAUUAAGGUUGGCUGUGGGAUCUAGCAGGUUAUUGUCCUAGAACACUUGUGGCCUUCUCCUAAAACAGACUGGGAAAAUUCUGGUUCUUUAUUCACUGACAUCUCAAAGGGCAAAGAGGGAGGCACCAUGACAUUCUGCAGUUGCAGGCCUCUCAGGAUGAGACUGUAUUUUUCCAUACAGCAAUGUUGAUUUGAUCUGGCCUAAUUCUCCGAUUGAUGUGGUGAGAGGCAGGACUACUUGGGAAUGUAUUCACUGUGCCUGAUUUCUCUCUGGGCAAUUUAUUUGGUCAUCAAUCUUUUUAUCCUCCUGACAUUUGAUUUCUAGAUAUUGGCCCAAAUUCCAUAAGAUAGGAAUUUUUGUUCUGAAUUUUAAUAACAUAUGUAUUUUAAUUAAUAGUAUAUUUUAAAAUAAAAGUAACACGACAAAAAGAAAAAACAAAGACAAAAAAGUAACCUAAGAAUAUAUGCUCAAAAGUGCCAAAAAUACAAAAGACUACAGAAUUUUUAAAAUAGAAGCUUUUUGUUCAACUUGCUGCUCUUCUUCCCACUUCUUCAAUUCCAUUUCUUUUCCUAUAGGUGAUCAUGGCUAACAUUUUGGUGUUUGUCUUUCCAAAGUGUAUAGUUAUAGAUCUGAAUAGAAAUGUAGAUACAGAGAUAUCAAAGAUGAGCAUGGGCUAAGCACUCAACAAUAAACUACGUUGGGUCUAUUUUUCAAAGUUACUCUCAAAACAAGAAUACAGAUUGUCCAUUAAACAUACUGGAAUUUUAAUACAUUCUUUUUUUUCCCCCAGAACAUUUCUGAUUUCAUAUAUUCUGGCAUGUUUCCUGCCAUGUGGCAAACCAUAAGCUGAAAGAGAUAUAAAUAUAAAUAACACUAUGUCUAACAAAAUUUGCUCAGAAUAUGCUAAAGCAUUAGUAUAAAUGUCUACAUCUUAAGUCAGAGCUAAAGAACAAGUUUCUCUCAGUAAAUCAAGGAAAGCCAGGGGAAAAGACCAUAGAGAAAAAGGAUAUGGGUGCCUGUAUGAAGCAGGGGAGGUUUUUGACUCCAGUGCACCUAAUUAGCAAAUAAGUAUCAUUCAUCUGUGCUGUGGUAAGCACUGCAGUAUGCAUAAAUAGAAGGUGUGAUACCUGCCUCCAAAGGGCUUACCAUCUACUGAGAAAUCCGACUAAUCAGACAGGAAAGACUCAGAUAAUGAAGGCUUGCAUAAGAGCCUGAAUCUGAUAAGGUAAUGAACAAAAGACAGCCUCUACAGGUUUUUAUAGAUAGAAAUGAGAUGAUAAAAUCAAAUUUAAACAAUGUAUCUUAACUCCCUUCCGGCCUUUCAUUUCCAUUCCAUGAAUGCUACCCUGGCUUAGGCUUUCAUGACUUUGCCUAUUUGCAGUGACCUUGUAUUCAGCACUCUGCCAUCUCUCCCACUACUUCCUCCCAAGCCAUCCUGAACACAGGCCACAUGUUUGAUUUUCUAAUCGUACACAAGGGAACGUCUCUGCUCAAAAGCCAAAAAUGACUCUUCUUUGGCCACCAAAUAAUCUGAACUUUUUGGUGUGAAACUCAAGGCCCUGCCAGAAACAAUAUUAAUCUCCUUCCAGACUGUCUCCCAUUUCCUAAUAUUAACCCCUUGCUCUGUUGAAAUUGAAGCCAUUUUCCAAAGCCACCUCUGUGAUGUCCUUAUGUAAUUCCCGCCCUCUUCUUGUCCUCCCCUGCAACCCUAUCUCCAUAGAAAAGCAGUCAGAAAAACCACCCUAGGAAUUGAUGCAGUAAUCCAGGAGUGAGAUGAGGAUGGGAGGGAGAGGGUGAGCAUGUGGGGAUGAGGAGGAGGGUGGGACACAGGGAGUAGCCACAGACCUUAAUGACUGAUGGCAGAUAGGGUGUGAAGGAGAGAGGUGAGUCAAAGGUAACUUAUUUUCGGUUUUAGGCAACAAAUACAAAUCUUUCUCAAUAACUACUCAUCCCACAUCCUUGUGGCUAUUGGAGGUUGAUAUUUAUUUCAUACUGCCUGUAUAACCUGGGACCAUAUAUAAUUAAUGAUGAUUACUCUGUAUUCUAGAUCACGAAUAUAUAUAUCUAUAUAAAUAUAUACAAAUAUAUAAAUACAAAUAUAUAUAUAUAUAUAUAUAUAUUUACCUUAAUGCAGGCACAACCAAAUACUUUACUUUUGGAGCCAGAUGUCUUUAAGAUACACUCUAAAAUAUUAUUGUGGAAUUAGAUACACUGCUUUCCACGUAAACCAUUAAUAGAUACAUUGAAUAAGAAUCUUUAUUUCAUUCCCAGUGUGGUUUGGAGUAUAAGACUUAGGAAAGUGUCUGUGAAACCUACAGUGAGAAAUUCCACUGGGUCUUGACAGCUGGAGUGAGCACUCAAAUGUGCCCAGCACUUUUCUCUAGCUCCCUUCUCUGCUUGAGCUGUGGUCUGCUUUCUCCUUCUCUGUAGCUCAGAUCAUCUUCCUCCACUUCUCAGCCCACAUGUCUAACGUGGCUGGGACCAGCUCAGAGUGUUUCAAAUGUGUAGGUGCUCGGAGAGAGAGAGACCCAACCCUCUUAGACUCAGGUACACAUUCUCAGGGAAGAAAACUGGAACCAGUAGAAAUAUCAGAUCCCUAUGUUCCCUGACGAGUGCUUCCUUCUCUAAGAAGAAAAACCUACUAAGAAGACAAAUUACAGCUGGAAGGUUGUUUGGUAAGCGUGGAAUCACCUAUCUAAUCUCCCAGCAAGUCUUAAUUGCUCUACCAUAAAAAAAAAGCAACCCAAAUCCAUCCUUUUCCCAGCUUCACUCCCUAGUCCAAAGCCACCAUCCACCCUUGUCUAAACCUCUGCAGGACUGUCUUUGCUUAUUUCUUUUCUUUUCUUUUUCUUUUUCUUUUUUUUAAGCGGAGUCUCACUCUGUCACCCAGGCUGGAGUGCAGUGGCGCGAUCUCGGCUCACUGCAAGCUCUGCCUCCCGGGUUCACGCCAUUCUCCUGCCUCAGCCUCCCGAGUAGCUGGGAGUACAGGCGCCCGCCACCAUGCCCAGCUAAUUUUUUUGUAUUUUUAGUAGAGAUGGGGUUUCACUGUGUUAGCCAGAAUGGUCUCCAUCUUCUGACCUCGUAAUCCACCCACCUCAGUCUCCCAAAGUGCUGGGAUUACAGGCGUGAGCCACCGCACCUGGCCCUGUCUUUUCUAAUUUCUUAACUAUCAUUUCUAUCCCCUUAGAAUUGAUUCUCCACUCAGCAUGCAGAAUUAUCCCUUUGAAAAUCAGAUUAUAUUCCUACCUAAACCACCCCCAAUAGCUUGUGACCUCUUAGAAUCUAGAUUCCUUAACAUGGCCUCAAGGGCCCACGUGACCCAGCCCCUGCCUGUCUCUCUACCUCAUCUCCUACUGCUCCUGCUUUUGUUCCUUCCACUCUAAUCACUUGACCUCCUGACCUCAGUCAUGCUAAUAAACUCAUGCCUCAUUUAGAUUUAUUUUCCUAGUGGAAGAAAAUGCAUUGAUCUGUGAACACAAAUACAUGGUUUAUCUGUUACAGUUCUCAUUGCAUGUCAACAAACUGACAUUCUGAUGUGUACAUCCAUCUCUUAUGAGUCUGCUUAGUGUGAAUCUGCCCCCUCUGGUAGUACUGACAAGAUUGUGUUUCUCAGCCCACAGAGCUAAGACACAGACUCAUGAGACCCAGUCUCUGUCUAUACCACUAGAGUUCUACUGCCCCUGAAUGGCAUUGCCUGCACAGACAGCUGGCCUUCCUCAGCAGACACACAGCCUUUGUACCAUAUAACUCUUCAGACUUGCUAUGAUGUACCAAUGUCUUUCCUUGAAAUGCUCUUCUGAAAAUGAUAAAUGCUAAAACUGAUUACAAUGCUAUUGAAAGUGGAUGAGCAAGUUGAUCUGCUGAGAUGUGAAAACAAAUUCUAUUUUAAUUUUUAAUCUAAAAUAUUAGAAAGAAUUUUGUUUCCUAUACUUUGCUAUAUUUAGUAAAUAUACACUAAUAUAAGAAUUUUGCUUUACUAAAACAGUAGAACCCUCAGUUAGCCAGGCAGUCAUCAUCUGUCACAUAAAAGGUGUCCUGAGGAGGAAUGGGAGUGCCUCCCCUGGGGAAGAGGCUGAUGGUGGCUCUGGCUCUCAGUCAGUCGCUUUCCUUAUCUUGGUAUUUACUGUCAUUUAUCUGGGCUUAGCUAAACAGAUUUAUAGAGAAUUAACUCUCACAAAAUGGGAACAUAAUUUAAAAGAUUUCUGCAAAGAAUUGGACAGGAACUCUUGUCAAAAUUGUAAGCAGAAGAAAAGAAAAAAAGAAAGGGACAGAGCCGACAUUUCUCAUACUUCUGGUACAAGCUCCUCAUCACAUUCAUUGUGUUGUAAAAAUAAUGGUGAUCUAGUAACAUCUGACAAGGUCAGCCAAAAUGAUACAUAUAAGAAUUUAGCUCUCCACCUAGGAGGGCUAUUAGCAAUAAAAUUUCCAUCUACUAUAACUUAUAAUUAACUUUGACCUAUAUGUGUAUUUCCCUUGAGAUUGGCCAAUGAUUGAUUGAAACUACCACAAUUAAUGACAGAUAAAAUAGCUUUUUUAUUUUAAAAUUUCUAUUUUGUGGGUAUUAUAGAAUGUAUUUUAUAUAUUAAUAUACAUAUAAUUAUAUACUAUUAUAAUCAUAUAUUAAUAUUAACAUAUAAUUGUGUGUGUUCAAAAAUUUUUAAUGGCACAAUCAAAAAACUUUAAAGACCACUGGAUUAAAAGAUGGUAUUUAGGGCCCAGCACAAUGACUCAAGUCUGUAGUCUCAGCACUUUGGGAAGCUGAGGUGAGGGGAUCGCUUGAGCCCAGGAGAUCAAGACCAGCCAUGGGCAAUAUGGCAAAACCCCAUCUCUACAAAAAAUACAAAAAUUAGCCAGAUGUGUUGCAACUGUAGUCCCAGCUAUUCAAGAAACUGAAGUGGGAAGAUCACUUGAGCCUGCAAGGUCGACGCUGCAGUGAGCCAUGAUUGCACCACUCCAGCCUGGGAGACAGAGCAAGGCCUUGCUUCAAAAAAUAAAAAUAAAAGAUGACAUUAAGAAGAAAUCUGAUCUCAUUGUCUUUAUUAUCAAGUGAUUGAAGGCUAUAAUCAUUAUUUAAUAAUCUUGUAGAUAAUGAUUGUACUUGAAAGUGGGCUAUUAAUAACUAGAUAUAUCUAGAGCACCAAGGUUUUACAAUUGUUAGAAAUUUGAGAAGCAGCACCCAGUAGUGACUUAGAGUCAGACUGCAUGGCUGAAUCUCUGCUUCAGUCAUUGCUAACUACAACCUGGGGCAAGUUAGUUGACCUACUAUGCCUGUUUCCUCACUGUAAAAGGAGAAUAAUAUCAGUACUUUCCAUAUAUGACUAUUUUCAGGAUUAAAUGAGCUAAUACAUUUAAGAAUUUAGGCCAGUGCCUGGCAUUUCAGAAGUGCUCAAUGAAUGUUAACUAAUAUUAACCUGGCUUUGGUUAAAUUUGAAAAAACAAACACAAAAACACAACUUUGUGUAGGUAACUUUGUUACCUACUGCCCCUUGCUGGCCAACCUGGGUCAGUACACUGCCAUCUAUGUGGGGAAGCUAAAUAAAUAAGUGCUUGGAGUAAGGAAAGAUUUUCAGCGUUGAGGGUAAUAUCAAUGCUAAACUUAUGAAUAUUUUUGCAAAAUAGUCUUGAGAAAAAUCAAUUGUCAUGAAAUUAAGUAAUUAGCAAGAAGUAUAGGAAGAGAAAUUAAAUAUCUGUAACAAUAAUUAAAUAAUAAGCACAUUUUAGAUUCUUAAGAGCAGUUGAAAAGCAAGACAUUUUAAAUUGCAGUGCUCUAAAAUAGGACCCUUGAGAAUUUAUGGUGUAAUAGAAUAUGAUUUGCCAGGAAAAGCAACUUGCUCCCUGAAAUGACCAAGUAUGUAUUUCAAGUUCUGCCUAGAUGUUUGAGGGGUGGGAGGAGGUAUUAUCUUCUGUAGGGAGACCCCCUGAAACUACUGCUACAGAAUAAAAGAUGAAAUGCUCCUGGUUAUUGUAAAUACAAAGUUGCAUGCAGGAUUGUGUAAAGACAAUGCCAGGUUGGGCUGCCAGAAUGAGCCAACAGCGCGUGAUGUGCUUCCCCCUGCAGAGAGCCUAUGAACAGACGUGCAGUCAGGGAGGUUUCACAUCACCAAGAUUCCUAUCCCAGAAAAGCAGAUGUUCAGAGCUCUGGGAAUGGAAUGCAACGCUUGUGGAGAGCCUAUAAGCAGAUGCAUGAGGGGCACCUGUUCAUAUGGAUAAGAUAGGGCUACAAACACCCUCAUCUUGCCAUGGCUCUUCUAGGCCUCUUUAGGGUUAAGGCAUACUCCCUUCUGAGAAUUUCUGGUCUAACCGGUUGUCUAGCUUCACGUCCUGUUUCCAUGGAUUGUUUGUAACCAGCUUUUGCUGCAACAGUUACUGCUGAUUAAUAUCUUGCUAAUCAUAGGUUAUGGACAGACUGUGUUUCUGUUUCAAGGCUCUGUUAGAAAUGACUGAUGUAAAUUCUUAUCUCUGUAUACUGUACUUCUGCAUAUAGAUGUUAUGUUAAAGAAUUACUUCAUCUCCAUGUGACUAUCUCACCUCAUAAUCAAACGACCCUAAAUCCCUCACUAACCUACCCCUGACCUCACUAAACUUAAUAAUAAAUGCUGGUAUAUCCAGUGCAUUGGCGGCACCAC